RNAcentral lists this non-coding RNA (29 nucleotides) under Mus musculus (house mouse). Lineage: Eukaryota; Metazoa; Chordata; Mammalia; Rodentia; Muridae. The record is from RNAcentral.
UCUGUGGAAUUUACUAUACACUCCAGCCU